AACGAACGCUGGCGGCAUGCCUAACACAUGCAAGUCGAACGAGACCUUCGGGUCUAGUGGCGCACGGGUGCGUAACGCGUGGGAACCUGCCCUUAGGUUCGGAAUAACUCCCCGAAAGGGGUGCUAAUACCGGAUAAUGUCUUCGGACCAAAGAUUUAUCGCCUUUGGAUGGGCCCGCGUUGGAUUAGCUGGUUGGUAGGGUAAAAGCCUACCAAGGCGACGAUCCAUAGCUGGUCUGAGAGGAUGAUCCGCCACACUGGGACUGAGACACGGCCCAGACUCCUACGGGGGGGAGCAGUGGGGAAUAUUAGACAAUGGGCGAAAGCCUGAUCCAGCAAUGCCGCGUGAGUGAUGAAGGCCUUAGGGUUGUAAAGCUCUUUUACCCGGGAUGAUAAUGACAGUACCGGGAGAAUAAGCUCCGGCUAACUCCGUG
RNAcentral lists this ribosomal RNA (433 nucleotides) under uncultured bacterium. RNAcentral describes it as "partial 16S ribosomal RNA". It matches the Rfam family "Bacterial small subunit ribosomal RNA", at positions 29 to 507 of the family's 1533-position model. The record is from RNAcentral.